UUUUUUUUCCUCUCUGUACUGCACCACUCUGCGCUGCCCCUGUCCUUCCACACAGCCAGGGAGAGAUCACGAGGCAAAAUGCAGACAUGGGAGAGGAAGAGAGGGAGGGAGGAUGGAGAAGURGAGGGGUUAGAGAAGAAGAAGAAGGGGGGGAAAGAAAACUGGCAGGCUCCUUCUUUGUCUGCAGGCGAUCAGUUACAGUCUUGGUUGCUGAUGAAAUUUAAUCCCCACCGCAUUUACAUGCCAAGUUUGACUUCUGGCAAGUCUUAUUAAAUAGAUUUGUAAAUCAUUUCAUCUUGAUUAGAAUCUGUUCUCGUGGGAUCAACAUUUUUUUUUCCUUGUUGUUGUUGUKGUUGUUUUCAUUUGCUUGUCUUUUUGUUACGUCUAUCUCUACCGGUGCUAAAAACGCAAAAAGUCAGUCCUCACUUCAUUUUCUCCCUCCGGUGAGUGUAAGCAGUAGGUUUUAAGGGGACAAAGAGCAACGGGAGCCAAAUCCCGUCUGUCACCGGCCAAGCYCACUGUGUCAGCAUGUCUCUCAUCUCCAGAGGUCAUGUCGGCAGCCGGGCGACUGCUCUGAUGUGCCUUCCUCUUAUUAGGCUGACACCACACACUCUUUUGCAUGGAACAAUGUCAUUUCAAAUUGCGCCUAAUCAGAUGGGAUUUUGUAAUUGCCAACAAACAUCUUAUGAAUAUGAAUUCAUUAUUGUUCAAUUACAAGUCGACUGGAUCAUAUUCGUCGGCUUAUUUUUUUUUUCAACCCCCCUCCCCCCUCCUCCUCCCGAUGGCCUGGGCCAAUUAUAGGAUUUCAAUCUUGAGGCAAUCAAGUGAUAAGGGGGAGGUGUUUAGUGUUUGCUGUCACUAUAUAAUUCUCUCCAAUGUUAAACAUGCAUCUGGGAGGGCUGCAUUUGUCAGAAGGCUGUGCUUGGAGGUGCACCUGCCUAAUUGAGUGGUAAUGAGCUGUCAGGAGUGUGGGCUCGGUGAUUGGCUGCUGGCAGGGAGUCCCGUGCCAGUGGGGAUGUAUAGGCUGKCCCGGCCCUGCUGGAGAACCAGCCAGCUUUACGGCCCUGCAGGCCUGAGUGGGCGGAGAGUGGUGAGUUGGGGUGGAGAGGCCAGUGACGCCGGCUGUGGAGACAUCCUGUGGCUCUCACUCAACCGUGGGAUUUAUUUAGGUUGUUUAUGAUUAUCCUUUCUCCAGAUUUAGUCUCACUUCUUCUUGUCAGAGACGUGUAAUCGGGGUUGUGUGUGUGCGUGCGUGUGUGUGUUUUAGUUGUGUAAAAGUAUAAUGUAUAUAUAAAAAAGCUAACUAUUUCUUUUUAUCUCUGUUUUUUUUUUUUUUUUUUUUUACACAAAAGGCAAUUUUCUCUUUAACUGUGGCAAAGCCAGGAUCUGCAAUCAAGAUUCACACACUGAGGCCUGGUUCAGAGUCGGCUCUUGUAAGACUGUAGUUCUCUACUGGAAGAAGGAUGAAGCAGGAAAUGGAU
Poecilia reticulata (guppy) is the source of this 1481-nucleotide non-coding RNA. Lineage: Eukaryota; Metazoa; Chordata; Actinopteri; Cyprinodontiformes; Poeciliidae. The record is from RefSeq and is a predicted model, not a curated record.